This 305-nucleotide ribosomal RNA is filed under the name uncultured bacterium. Its description in RNAcentral is "bacterial SSU rRNA". It matches the Rfam family "Bacterial small subunit ribosomal RNA", at positions 333 to 635 of the family's 1533-position model. The record is from RNAcentral.
UGGUUCCUACGGGAGGCAGCAGUGAGGAAUAUUGGUCAAUGGGCGGAAGCCUGAACCAGCCAAGUCGCGUGAGGGAAUAAGGCCCUACGGGUCGUAAACCUCUUUAGGCGGGGAGCAAUGCCGGGCACGCGUGCCCGGAGGGAGAGUACCCGCAGAAUAAGCAUCGGCUAACUCCGUGCCAGCAGCCGCGGUAAUACGGAGGAUGCGAGCGUUAUCCGGAUUUAUUGGGUUUAAAGGGUGCGUAGGCGGAUUUUUAAGUCAGCGGUAAAAUGUCCGGGCUCAACCCGGGCCGGCCGUUGAAACUG